CAAUUAGCUUGAGGAAAACGUUUACUCUUGCUUAUGUGAAGCUUGGGUAAGGUUGUGAAUAAAUAAUUGGAGCUUGAAAUUGUGAAUACUGGAACUUGGAGGAAGCGGAUUAGUUGAAGUUUUGAGGGCUGUGUUCUUUUAGGAAAAUUGUCUUGGAAUAAUACUUGGGAAUCGGCUAAGAUGCAGGUCGAGAGGCAUCUCGUUAGGCGUCUGGACUCUUGAAGCGGAGUGGUUACUGGGUUAUUUUGUUAUGUUAUG
This is a long non-coding RNA of Arachis stenosperma, 258 nucleotides long. RefSeq lists it as uncharacterized. The transcript is spliced from 3 exons. Lineage: Eukaryota; Viridiplantae; Streptophyta; Magnoliopsida; Fabales; Fabaceae. The record is from RefSeq and is a predicted model, not a curated record.